AUCUGCACCGCCGAUCGUCAUCGACUCUACUUCCCGCUGCGCUACGAGUCGUGACCUAGCUAGAAGAUGGGGCUACGCGUUGUUCUGACAAAGCUAAAUGAGCAAGCUGAAAGAAGAGAGAGCAAGUUGAACGGACUGAACAAGCUGAACAACAGGUGGCAAAUGGGAAUCUCUUGUGAUAUGAAUGGGUGCAUCCAUCAGCUUGGUGUACUCAAGGGAAUCUCAUGUGAGGCCGCUGGGCGCAUGCACCGUCUCUGUGUGCUGUCACUUCAACGAGCACCGCGUGGGCUGCAAGACCUCCUGCCAGGCCUAGUCCUGCCAGCCUUGUCUCACCUCCCGUCGCUCUUUGUCUCCUUAUUAAAUAAAGCCUGCUAAUUAGCCUGGUAUUGCAAAGAUUCUGCACCUGUAAAGUAAGUGGCACGAAUCUUGUACUCGGCGAAUCGGACGAGAUAAUCGGGUGUCGGCACACCCGGGUUCCAUCACACCUUUCCGGACU
This is a long non-coding RNA of Aegilops tauschii subsp. strangulata, 496 nucleotides long. RefSeq lists it as uncharacterized. The record is from RefSeq and is a predicted model, not a curated record. NCBI's taxonomy places the organism in Eukaryota, Viridiplantae, Streptophyta, Magnoliopsida, Poales, Poaceae.